This 1293-nucleotide long non-coding RNA is filed under the name Gallus gallus (chicken). Its description in RNAcentral is "lncRNA (ENSGALG00010005838.1)". The record is from RNAcentral. Lineage: Eukaryota; Metazoa; Chordata; Aves; Galliformes; Phasianidae.
UUUCUUCAACCUAGGCUUCUUCCAGAGGAGGAGUGCUGUAUGGUCAGAGAUAUUCACCAGCUAGGAAACUACAGAUAUUCAGGGAACUGGUCUCUUAUUUGCAAAUCAUAAAUCUGCUAGACUCUCCUUCAUGCAUUUUUUUCUUUCACUUUGAACUAUGUGCAAGAGAAUAUGUUCACAAAUGUUCAGGAAAUACAAACCCAACUCACCGUGGAUCAGAUCCUCAAAAGAUUCCAGAGGAGGGCACUAAGGCUGAUAAAUGGGGCUGGAGGGCAUGUCCUGUGAGGAGAGGCUGAGGAUGCAUGCAUUGCCCAGCCUGGAGAAGAGGAGGCCAAGAGAUGCCCUCGCUGCUCUCUGAGGAGGGAAGGCAGGGGAGGUGCUGGUCUCUGCUCCUGGGAACUGGUGCUAUGGUGGGAAUUACAAAUCAGUGCCAGGAGGGAUUUAAACUGGACAUUAGGAAACAUUUAUUUACCAUGAUGGUGGUCAAACACUGAAAUAGGUUUCCUACUGAAGUAGUUGAUACCUCAUGCCUGUCACUGCUCAAGAGGUAUUUGGAUUUAUAUGCUUUAUUUAUAUGCUUUAGUCUUUUGUUAGCUCAAAAGCUGUCAGGCAGUUGGGCUGGCUGAUCACUGAAGGUUCCUUCCAACAAAGCUCUUGUAUUCUAAACCUAAAAUGGUAUAACUUAUCCAUAGCAGAUGCUAACUAAGCAUGAUUUGAGAAAAGAGGUUUUCCUUUUUUUUUUUUUAUGUUUUUCUUGCUCUUUUUCUCUUAGACUUGUGUAUCAUUCUGAGUGCAUGUCAGACUACCAGAGGUUCCUAAUAGCUGCCUUGCUCAAGCAGAUUUAUAAAAAGUCAGCUUAUGCUCUUCCAAACAAAACUUGUAGAAAUAUGGGCUUGUCAUUGGCUAAGAAAAUAAUUCUCACUCAAUUCUUUCAACUUUUGAUGUGUUAGAGGCUUUACAUCUAAACUUCUAAUUUUCUGUACUUACUGUAAAAUUUUACACUUUGAGAUGCUUCUUUCUUGCUAGAAAAUUAAAUUAAAGAUAUGAAACUGUUAUUAUAGUGCUGUAUAGGAAUGCUAAUAACAUGAAGCAUGCAAUUCUUAGGGGAAAAAUUCAAAUAUAGUAGGUGAUUAAGGUGGUAUUACUGGCUGGCAAAUGAAAAAUUACUGCAAACUGAACAGCAGGACGUAAGGACAUUGUGGUGAAUUAUAAACACAUUUGGCACUUGGGUGAAUUUCUUUCUAUGGCACUGUUAUCUAAUUUCAAACACAGUAAUUAAAAUUGGACAAACUU